UAGGGAAUCUUCCGCAAUGGACGCAAGUCUGACGGAGCAACGCCGCGUGAGUGAAGAAGGAUUUCGGUUCGUAAAACUCUGUUGUUAGAGAAGAACAGCGCAUAGAGUAACUGUUAUGCGUGUGACGGUAUCUAACCAGAAAGCCACGGCUAACUACGUGCCAGCAGCCGCGGUAAUACGUAGGUGGCAAGCGUUGUCCGGAUUUAUUGGGCGUAAAGCGAGCGCAGGCGGUUAGAUAAGUCUGAAGUUAAAGGCAGUGGCUCAACCAUUGUAGGCUUUGGAAACUGUUUAACUUGAGUGCAGAAGGGGAGCGUGGAAUUCAAUGUGUAACGGUGAAAUGCGUAGAUAUAUGGAGGACCACCGGUGGCGAAAGCGGCUCUCUGGUCUGUAACUGACGCUGAGGCUCGAAAGCGUGGGGAGCGAACAGG
RNAcentral lists this ribosomal RNA (428 nucleotides) under Bacteroidota bacterium. RNAcentral's name for it is "Bacteroidetes bacterium partial 16S ribosomal RNA". It matches the Rfam family "Bacterial small subunit ribosomal RNA", at positions 355 to 776 of the family's 1533-position model. Lineage: Bacteria; Pseudomonadati; Bacteroidota. The record is from RNAcentral.